UUGACCUCAAAUCAGGUAGGACUACCCGCUGAACUUAAGCAUAUCAAUAAGCGGAGGAAAAGAAACUAACAAGGAUUCCCUUAGUAACUGCGAGUGAAGAGGGAAGAGCUCAAAUUUAAAAUCUGGCAGUGUUUUGCUGUCCGAGUUGUAAUCUAGAGAAGUGCUGCCCGUGCUGGACCAUGUACAAGUCUCCUGGAAUGGAGCGUCACAGAGGGUGAGAAUCCCGUCUUUGACAUGGACUACCAGUGCAUUUGUGGUGUGCUCUCAAAGAGUCGAGUUGUUUGGGAAUGCAGCUCUAAAUGGGUGGUAAACUCCAUCUAAAGCUAAAUAUUGGCGAGAGACCGAUAGCGAACAAGUACCGUGAGGGAAAGAUGAAAAGAACUUUGGAAAGAGAGUUAAACAGUAUGUGAAAUUGUUGAAAGGGAAACGCUUAAAGUCAGUCGUGUCGGCCAGGGAUCAACUCAGCUUUCUCUGCUGGGUGUACUUCCUGAUCUGAUGGGCCAACAUCAGUUUUGACUGCUGGAGAAGGGCAGAGGGAAUGUGGCACCUUCGGGUGUGUUAUAGCUGCUCUGUCAGAUGCAGUGGUUGGGACUGAGGAAAGCAGCAUGCCGCAAG
RNAcentral lists this ribosomal RNA (615 nucleotides) under Amanita gemmata. RNAcentral describes it as "eukaryotic LSU rRNA". It matches the Rfam family "Eukaryotic large subunit ribosomal RNA", at positions 1 to 610 of the family's 3401-position model. The record is from RNAcentral. Lineage: Eukaryota; Fungi; Basidiomycota; Agaricomycetes; Agaricales; Amanitaceae.